CCACGGUUUCUAAAAAAUAAAGCCUAUAGCAACGUAUUAGGUUUCCCUCCCUGUUUUUUCUCUUCUAAUUUCGCGAAGUAUAGUUUUUAUUUUAAUUAGUAUGUAUAUCCAAUUAAUAAGAAGAAAAAAUCUAAGUCAUAUGCAGCGUCCCAAAUACUCUUAACUCCAGCAGAAGGACACUCUUAAGCAAGGCAAAUCUCUGACAAUGGCGCACUCUCCGACGUCGUAGGUCUCUCAUUGAUUUUCUUCUAUGUCUAGGUAGGAGUUUCUUCUCCAAGAUUAAUUGUAGACUUGUAGUUUAGUUUACUUCUCUCAAUUUCUCUCACACAGUAACCCACUAACAUUCGCCAUAUCUUUAAUUGGUAAACUUUUUAUUAAUCAGUUGUGAGGGAUAACUUUAUUGUUGUUCAGUAGAAGGUGCAGCAGGUUAUUCCGUCACUUUCAGUUGGUAAAUCAAAGGUAUGGUCUUCCUCUCGCUUUUGACAAGUUAUCUUCUUUAACUUUUUAGAGUCAAAAUUGACACUGAUAAAGGGAGAUAGAAAAUGGUUUUAAAAAUUUAGGGUUUGAGAUUUUUGGCUACUUGUAAUGAAUCAAUCCCAUAAUUAUUGGGUGAGUUUGUCAUGAAGUUGCCCUUGAAAUUUCGGGCAAGAACUACAUGACAUGGGUGUUGGAUGCUGAAAUGCAUUUGGAUGCAAUGGGUCUUGGAGACGACAUUAAAGACAGAAAUAAUGCAUCCACCCAAGACUGUGCUAAGGCCUUGAUUUUCUUGCGCCAUCACCUUAAAAUUGACACUGAUAAAGGGAGAUAGAAAAUGGUUUUAAAAAUUUAGGGUUUGAGAUUUUUGGCUACUUGUAAUGAAUCAAUCCCAUAAUUAUUGGGUGAGUUUGUCAUGAAGUUGCCCACAAGGUGUUUGAUGCUUUUCCUCAAUGAAUCUCUGCCACUUGUUUAAAUUUCUAUCAUGUAAGAAAUCUGGUCAAUGUUGGUUGUGCAAUUUCUCGGGUAUUUGCCACGUUCCACUGCUAUCGUUGCCAGGUUAGGUUUUCGUCAGUGGUCCGCGUCACUUUCUUCCGAGUAUUUGUACUUGCUUCCCUUCAAGGUGGUGUUUUCUCUAGCAGCCUUGUUCAGAGUUGAUAUUCUGACAAAUUUGUUAAUAUAUUCCAAUUCAAAGACCGGGUUUUCUGGUGUAUGGCUUCUAGGCGGAACACUCCUUACAGUCAUCUUGCUGUGGAUGAAGAUGAGGACUAUUAUGGUAGUUCUGGCAGGCGACCUGACCCUAGAUUUGAUUAUUCACCAAAAUCGUUACAUAGAAUUCCCUGGAAGUCUGUUGCCCUUGCUCUUUUUCUGCUCUUUCUAGGAUGUCUGCUUCUCUUGCUAUCAUACUUCAUCUUAUCUUGUCAUAUGGGAGGAGAGCGCUUACAGGCAUAUGGUCUUCUUGGACUUGGAAUUCUCACUUUUCUCCCUGAUAAGUAAAACGUUCAUCUGUUUUAUAUUGCUUUGGAUGAGUAAGCUAUAAAUCUUGUUUAAGGUAUUUCAAGAUAUCCUUGUUGAGAGUGUAGCAGUCCAUUAAAUCCAGAGUCAUGUUACAGUUGCACCAUUGUUUGGCAGUAUGAAUGCCAAUUUGAAUUAACAAGGUAACUUCCAUUGAAUCUGUGAGCAUUUAAAUUGGUGAGACAGCAAAUGGUAGGACUACUUUUUAUUUUAUCUACCUUCUCUCUGUAGUUGCAAGAAACCCCAUAUCAAGGUGAUUGGGCCGUGCACUUGAAAAUGAUCACACAUAUAUAUCAUACUGUAUUAUAAGUGAAAAGCCCCACGUACAAAGUUAAACGACUAAAAUAGCCAUCAAUAAGUGAACUCACUUUUAGCCCUUCAUUAAAACACUACUACUUCAAUAUUUUUGGUCAAAAAUAUAAAUAGACGUUUCAACUUAUAUAUAUUUUUUUCCUCCACUCGUAUUUUCAGUUAAAUGCUCUUUUAAUUUGGAGGUAGAAUUUCAGAAUACAAUAGUUAAUGUCUAAAAGUGAAAGAAUCCGUUCAUUAGCUUGAACCAAUAAAUUAAUAUAGUAGUAUUUAUGUAGGCACAAAUGCAAAGCUAAUAUCAUUUUGUGGACAAGCAGAUAGGAAUUUUCAAAUGUUGCCACCAACUACAGAAAGGACUCCUUGAAAUUUUCAUAUCGAUGCUUGGUCAAUUUUCUCACAAGCGUCAGUAUUUUUCAAAGCAAGUGAUUAAAGUUUUUUCUUACUUUUGUUGGUAGAUUGAUGUAGGUUUCCUCUACUUGGAAAGGGGUUUAUUUUAUGGCAUUAUUUUUUGUGGCUUGAGAACUAAUUAGGUUCAAAGACAUAUAUGCAUAUUCUUAUACUUGUUUAUUCUUUCUGACUCUUCUCUUCCUCAUUUUAUGUUGGUGUAGACGCUCGGUAGGUAUAUUUUAUUUCUUGUGAAGUUUUUCUCCUUGUUAGAAAAUUCUCUCUUCAAUUGACUUUAUUUUAUUAUUGGAAACAUAUCACAAUUUAAUGUCUUGAGCCGAGGGUCUCCUAGAAAUAGUCUCCCUACCCCGAGGGGUAGGGGUAAGGUCUGCGUACAUAUCAUCCUCCCUAGACCCCACUUAUGGGAUUAUACUGGGUUGUUGUUGUUAUUGUUGUUGUCUCAAGAGUUCAACUGAUAUUCUAAAGUUUAUACAGAGUAAUGGAGGGAGACUAUUUGUCAUUUUCAUAUAGUUUUUAAUUACGAUUGUAGGAUAUUUUUGAUAAACUGUUAUUGAAUUGUGUUAAAGCAUCAAAUAUCAAGUUCAAAUUAACUGAGAUGUCAAAGUUGAGGUGUCAUUUUCUUCAAUCAAAACCAAAUCUUGUAUCAGGGUUUCUAAAAGUUGAAGAUGAAGUAAAACUAGAUAGCGUCAUAUAUGCAAGUGAGCUCAUUUUCAGGUUUCUUAUUUAAUCCUUGCAAGGAAUAGCACCACAUUUUGCGGCUGGUGCUUUCGUGGCCUCAAGGCUCAUAGGGGUUUUGUUUGCAAGGCGAGCUCAUUAGUCUUUCUAAAUUCAAAAUGUAUUUGCUCUAGGUGUGGUAUCUCUCAUGCUCUCUAUAUACCCGUACUCCUUAAACAAAUAUCAUAAUUAAUUAUAAGGUACGUUUGGCUAUUCUUUUUGUCUUUUAAUUUCUUCUUUCAGCUAGUCACUUGGAUAUGCCACUAUCCCUUGACUUUUGUGUAAUUUGAAUCAUAAACAUAUACUCUAAACAUAUUACAAUGGGAGAUUUAGAGACAUCUCAAAUAGCAUUAGUAGAAGCAUAUAAGUCUUUCACAAAGAAAAGUCAAUUUUUUAUUUUUCUGGAAGAUAGUUUUUACCAUUAUUGUCGCAGCAAGUACUCAAUGCUUCUGAUCACCAAGUUUUUUUUGCAUCUUUGGUUAUACUAUACAUGCGAGUUUUCUUCAGUUAUUUGCUAUAUGCAAGUAUAUUGCAUGUCCUUAGCUAGCAGGAUAUGCUUUAAAGAUCACCUUUGCAUUAAGAAGGUCAACUUCAAACGGAUGCAAUUUAUUUGUGCAAUAAAGCUUGCUAUCCACGGUUUUAAGUUGAUAAACCUGAAAUUAAAAAUCCCCUUAGAGGGAAAAGCAUUACAGUCGAUGAGACACAAGGUUUGGCUAAUCUUUUUUGCUUUUUCUUUUUUGGUCUGUAAAUAAUAGACCUAACAUCCAAAUAAUAGACUUAGCAUUACAGUCGAUGAGACUUAUCAUGCCAUUCAAGUCUUCAAUGAUGAAUCUUAGAAACUUUUUUUUCCCUUAAAUUGGUUUUACCAAAUAGAGUUCAGCUUAGGAAAGAAAAAUAGGUGGAAGUUCCAGUGACUAAAUAUGUUUAUGGAAGAUGGUACCUGCUAAUGUUCAGAAGGUUGUGAAGAAAUAAGAAGGUACUAUUAUAGCACCCUUUUAUUUAAUGCAUCUAACUUUAAGUAAAUAUCUAGUGUUCGUGACAUACUAGUGUUCUUUUAGGUACUGCUUAUCUUAGUCUAUUUAUCGUCCUUAAAAUAGAAAAAGAAAAGAGAAGAAAAGGUUGUUGGUUUUGCAAAAUGAACAAUAGUUUUUCUAGGUAUGAGCUGCUGGUUUUUCAGCAGCUGCUUGUGUAUCUUCCUUAUGCACAACCUUCUCGCUUCCAUCCUUCAAAAGAGCUAUUUGUGAACCAGUAUUGGACUGAUCAGCAGUGAGAUAAAUAGCAUGUUUAGCUACUGCCUCAACACCUGUAGUCAUUGCCUGGUCCACUCCCAACUAUUAUUUGUUGAUUGUUGCUAAUUUUGUACUUAGCAGCAGCUGCUCGAUCCUAAAAUUGUUAUUGUUUAACACCUGGAGUCUUUCUUUUGCUAGGUGAUCGAUUGACAUAUAACCAGCCUCUAUCUUUAGCUUGAUCAUCGUUGCUACUGGAAUUUGCAGCCACUUGGUCACAUUCCUGUCCACCUUUAUUUCCUUUCUGUUGCCUCGCAAUUUUAACCUGCACCUUAGCCUAUUUCCUUAAAGUUGCAGAAUUGCCUAGCUUCAACAUGUGCAUUGUUAAGUGUAUUUGAUUUCACCUCUAAAGCAGCAAUGUUAUCAGGCAGCUGCUCACCAGAUUUAUCAGAGUUGAUCUUCUGACAAACAUCCGUGGCAUCACCUUGUAAUUUUUCUACAGGUUGAACAUCUUCCUCGACCUCGUCAUAAACACAUUGAGCUGCUGCUACUGUUUUUCUUUGUAAACUAUGACAAUCUAUCUCCUCAUGGCCUUGGCGCUUACAAUUGCAACAAUAUGAUGGGACUGUUGGAGCUUACAAUGGUCUUGGCGCCUAAAAACACACAUUUACUAUUAUUAUUGAUGUGAUCUUAUAAAUUUUGUACUUCAAAAUUAGUCAUCUAAAAGUAGUCACAAUGUAAAUAGAUGAACUGUUGGUUGAAGAUAACCUCAAUUUUCGUACUUGUUGAAGUAUUGGAUGAAGAUGCUUAUUUUUUUUUUCCUUACCAUCUAAAUAUUGUUAUCUUCUAAAUAUUGUUAUUUCUUUUGAAUUUUGUAGGUGAAGGAAAUGAACAAAUGGGAGAUGAAAGUAGUGAAGACCUUAAAGAGUAUUGAUUGAUCUACACCUUCAGAUGUUUUGGGACUGUUCUUAUUUUUGAAUAUUUUGUAAACUUAUAUGCAAUUUAACUCUUGAAUAGUUAGUCAAUAUUCUAUAAUAUUUGGAGUAUACUAGUUGGAUAUUUUAGAUGAUGAUUUUGUUGAUGAAUAUAGUUUCCUUUCAUGG
Molecule: long non-coding RNA, 5245 nt
Filed under: Nicotiana benthamiana
Lineage: Eukaryota; Viridiplantae; Streptophyta; Magnoliopsida; Solanales; Solanaceae
Description: long non-coding RNA (NBEN_LNC011549)
Source: RNAcentral